AUUGAACGCUGGCGGCAGGCCUAACACAUGCAAGUCGAGCGGAUGAAGGGAGCUUGCUCCUGGAUUCAGCGGCGGACGGGUGAGUAAUGCCUAGGAAUCUGCCUGGUAGUGGGGGAUAACGUCCGGAAACGGGCGCUAAUACCGCAUACGUCCUGAGGGAGAAAGUGGGGGAUCUUCGGACCUCACGCUAUCAGAUGAGCCUAGGUCGGAUUAGCUAGUUGGUGGGGUAAAGGCCUACCAAGGCGACGAUCCGUAACUGGUCUGAGAGGAUGAUCAGUCACACGGGACCUGAGUCGGGGUCCGUACAGCGACGGGAGGCAGCGGAGGAGAAUAUAGGGCUAUGGGCGCGAGCAGGAGAGAGGCAUGCGGGGUGUGUGAAGAGGGUCUGAGGAUUGAAAAGAAAUUGAAGGUGGGAGAGAGGGAAGUAAUUUAAUACCGUGGUAUUUUGACAUUAACAAAAGAAUCAGCCCCGAAUACCUGGCGGCCAGCAGCCGGGGAAUAGAACGAAAAACCACACCCCUAAU
This 524-nucleotide ribosomal RNA is filed under the name uncultured bacterium. RNAcentral's name for it is "partial 16S ribosomal RNA". It matches the Rfam family "Bacterial small subunit ribosomal RNA", at positions 37 to 537 of the family's 1533-position model. The record is from RNAcentral.